ACCUGGAUGGCUCAGUUGGUUAAGCGUCUGACUUUGGCUCAGGUCAUCUCGCAGUCAGUGGGUUUGAGCCCCACGUCAGGCU
This is a non-coding RNA of Felis catus (domestic cat), 82 nucleotides long. Lineage: Eukaryota; Metazoa; Chordata; Mammalia; Carnivora; Felidae. The record is from Rfam.